ACAAACUUGGUCAUUUAGAGGAAGUAAAAGUCGUAACAAGGUCUCCGUUGGUGAACCAGCGGAGGGAUCAUUACCGAGUUUACAACUCCCAAACCCCCUGUGAACUUCUACCAUUUACUGUUGCUUCGGCGGGUCAUGGCCCCGUGGGAAAGGACAGUGGGCUGGUGCGCCGUCAGGCUCCCCGUCCCGCUGCCCGCCACCCCGCGGAAACAGGCGCCCGCCGGGGAACGCAAAACUCUGUAUUUUUCUUCUUGACUACUGUAUACUGUCUGAGUACAACUAAAACAAAUGAAUCAAAACUUUCAACAACGGAUCUCUUGGUUCUGGCAUCGAUGAAGAACGCAGC
This 346-nucleotide unclassified non-coding RNA is filed under the name uncultured fungus. Its description in RNAcentral is "partial contains small subunit ribosomal RNA, internal transcribed spacer 1, and 5.8S ribosomal RNA". The stretch from base 1 to 73 matches the Rfam family "Eukaryotic small subunit ribosomal RNA", at positions 1759 to 1831 of the family's 1831-position model. Lineage: Eukaryota; Fungi. The record is from RNAcentral.